This 329-nucleotide long non-coding RNA is filed under the name Helianthus annuus (common sunflower). Its description in RNAcentral is "hypothetical non coding rna". Lineage: Eukaryota; Viridiplantae; Streptophyta; Magnoliopsida; Asterales; Asteraceae. The record is from RNAcentral.
UGAGUAUGAAAGAUGGUCAAACCACAAGAAAUGAUGGAUCCCCUGGUCAAAUGAAUUCACCCCAGUAUCAUAGUGUGGAUUGCACCAUUUGAUCCAACUAAGAAGGAGGAGGAGGUUAUUCAAGAUGUCAACUGUAAGUACUUUUUAAAAUUCUUUUUUUACUAAGAUAAUGCGAUUAGUGAUCCGAUCCUCUUUGUAUUAACUAUGAACUUAAUAACAAGCAUUAAAUAGUGUGAUUAUAUAAACCAUUAAAAGUACUUUAACGAACCACUAGCCCGCCGUAACUUAGAAAUUACACUACAUCAGUUUAUGAGCAGCAUCUGGUUAUG